UCAAUAGCGUAUAUUAAAGUUGUUGCAGUUAAAAAGCUCGUAGUUGAAUUUCGAGAUCAAAUUGUUGGUCGUGCCUCGGUACGUACUGGCAUUAUUGAUUUCUCCCUUCUGAAGAACCACGAUGUCAUUAAUUUGGUGUCGUGGGGAAUCAGGACCGUUACUUUGAAAAAAUUAGAGUGUUUAAAGCAGGCUCACGCUUGAAUACAUUAGCAUGGAAUAAUGAAAUAGGACGUUUGAUUCUAUUUUGUUGGUUUCUAGGAUCGACGUAAUGAUUAAUAGGGAUAGUUGGGGGCAUUAGUAUUCAAUUGUCAGAGGUGAAAUUCUUGGAUUUAUUGAAGACUAACUACUGCGAAAGCAUUUGCCAAGGAUGUUUUCAUUAAUCAAGAACGAAAGUUAGGGGAUCGAAGACGAUCAGAUACCGUCGUAGUCUUAACCAUAAACUAUGCCGACUAGGGAUCGGAUGAUGUUAAUUUUUUAAUGACUCAUUCGGCGCCUUACG
This 499-nucleotide ribosomal RNA is filed under the name uncultured Glomeromycotina. RNAcentral describes it as "partial small subunit ribosomal RNA". It matches the Rfam family "Eukaryotic small subunit ribosomal RNA", at positions 591 to 1092 of the family's 1831-position model. Lineage: Eukaryota; Fungi; Glomeromycota. The record is from RNAcentral.